GACCGCGUAGCUCAGCUGGUAGAGCAACUGACUUUUAAUCAGUAGGUCGUGGGUUCGAAUCCCACCGCGGUCACCA
RNAcentral lists this transfer RNA (76 nucleotides) under Alphaproteobacteria bacterium. RNAcentral describes it as "tRNA-Lys". It matches the Rfam family "tRNA". From Rfam's summary of the family: Transfer RNA (tRNA) molecules are approximately 80 nucleotides in length. Their secondary structure includes four short double-helical elements and three loops (D, anti-codon, and T loops). The record is from RNAcentral. Lineage: Bacteria; Pseudomonadati; Pseudomonadota; Alphaproteobacteria.